GGGUUGUGAGGUUAAGCGACUAAGCGUACACGGUGGAUGCCCUGGCAGUCAGAGGCGAUGAAGGGCGUGCUAAUCUGCGAUAAGCGCCGGUAAGGUGAUAUGAACCGUUAUAACCGGCGAUACCCGAAUGGGGAAACCCAGUGUGAUUCGUCACACUAUCAUUAACUGAAUCCAUAGGUUAAUGAGGCGAACCGGGGGAACUGAAACAUCUAAGUACCCCGAGGAAAAGAAAUCAACCGAGAUUCCCCCAGUAGCGGCGAGCGAACGGGGAGGAGCCCAGAGCCUGAAUCAGCAUGUGUGUUAGUGGAAGCGUCUGGAAAGGCGCGCGAUACAGGGUGACAGCCCCGUACACAAAAGCGUAUGUGCUGUGAGCUCGAUGAGUAGGGCGGGACACGUGGUAUCCUGUCUGAAUAUGGGGGGACCAUCCUCCAAGGCUAAAUACUCCUGACUGACCGAUAGUGAACCAGUACCGUGAGGGAAAGGCGAAAAGAACCCCGGCGAGGGGAGUGAAAAAGAACCUGAAACCGUGUACGUACAAGCAGUGGGAGCACCCUUUGGGGUGUGACUGCGUACCUUUUGUAUAAUGGGUCAGCGACUUAUAUUCUGUAGCAAGGUUAACCGAAUAGGGGAGCCGGAGGGAAACCGAGUCUUAAUUGGGCGUUAAGUUGCAGGGUAUAGACCCGAAACCCGGUGAUCUAGCCAUGGGCAGGUUGAAGGUUGGGUAACACUAACUGGAGGACCGAACCGACUAAUGUUGAAAAAUUAGCGGAUGACCUGUGGCUGGGGGUGAAAGGCCAAUCAAACCGGGAGAUAGCUGGUUCUCCCCGAAAGCUAUUUAGGUAGCGCCUCGUGAAUUCAUCUCCGGGGGUAGAGCACUGUUUCGGCUAGGGGGUCAUCCCGACUUACCAACCCGAUGCAAACUGCGAAUACCGGAGAAUGUUAUCACGGGAGACACACGGCGGGUGCUAACGUCCGUCGUGAAGAGGGAAACAACCCAGACCGCCAGCUAAGGUCCCAAAGUCAUGGUUAAGUGGGAAACGAUGUGGGAAGGCCCAGACAGCCAGGAUGUUGGCUUAGAAGCAGCCAUCAUUUAAAGAAAGCGUAAUAGCUCACUGGUCGAGUCGGCCUGCGCGGAAGAUGUAACGGGGCUAAACCAUGCACCGAAGCUGCGGCAGCGACACUAUGUGUUGUUGGGUAGGGGAGCGUUCUGUAAGCCUGUGAAGGUGU
This 1227-nucleotide ribosomal RNA is filed under the name Salmonella enterica. Its description in RNAcentral is "partial 23S ribosomal RNA". It matches the Rfam family "Bacterial large subunit ribosomal RNA", at positions 1 to 1259 of the family's 2925-position model. Lineage: Bacteria; Pseudomonadati; Pseudomonadota; Gammaproteobacteria; Enterobacterales; Enterobacteriaceae. The record is from RNAcentral.